Molecule: RNA transcript, 1466 nt
Organism: Mangifera indica (mango)
Lineage: Eukaryota; Viridiplantae; Streptophyta; Magnoliopsida; Sapindales; Anacardiaceae
Gene name: pentatricopeptide repeat-containing protein At4g20090-like
Exons: 3
Source: RefSeq, a predicted model, not a curated record
CAAUUUCAAAUUUCUUAUACGUGUGAGAGACUCCAUGCCUGUCUAUGGCGGCUUAGCGACUCCAAACUGAUUAACUUCACAACAUCACUAUGCUGAGCGUAAAAAUCAGAUCGUUUGGAACAAAGCCCUUCCAAAUCCUUUCUUCUACCUCGAAGCUCUUAGAAUUUCAGUCUUUUUCUUCAUCUUCAACAAUUGAAGAUGAUUCAGUGAACCCAGAAUCCAAAACUGAAACUUUAACACCUCAAUUAACACAACAAGAACUCGCCAAAAUCAACCUCUUAAUCCCACGCUUAUGCCUCACAAACAACAUUAACACAGCCAUUAAUCUCACAUUCACAGCUUUACAAGCAAACCCACCUCCCAAGUCUCUCUCUUUUUCCAUCUUAACUCAUUCUCUCACUUCCCAGCCAGACUUGGUCCUCCCCAUGGCACUUUUAACCAAACUCAAACACACCCCUCAAGCACAUUCACAUCUCACAUUGAUCGCCACACUUCUUGUUUCUUCAUAUCUCAGAAGGGGUAGGCCAAAAGAUGCUUUGAAAGUGUACAACUGGAUGCUGAGGCCUGGCUCUCCAUGUAAGGUGGAGAGGGUGGUGUAUCAGGUUUUGGUUGAUGGGUUGUGUAGAAGUGGGUUGGUUGUGGAGGGUUUGAGGGUUUUGAGGGGCAUUUUGGGGAUGAAUUUGGUGGUGAGAAGUGGUUUGAGGAAAAGGGUUUUCAGGAGUUUAUUGAGAGAGGCUAGAAUUAAGGAGGCUAAAGAAUUGGAUGAAGCUUUAUUGUGUGUUGAGAAUGGUGAAAUUGAGGGUUUGGAGAAAGUGUUGGCUCUGUUGGAUCGGAUUAUUGCUAAUUGGACAGAAUAGAACAGGCACCUAUUAGAGAACAAGUCUUACUACAAAACUAGGAAGAACAGUCUCAUCAAACUGAAUUUCACCAAUAUGCGAAGGUAUGUCUGGAUUCUCUGGUCUAGAUCAAGUGACAACUUAUAACUGACUGCACCAUGUGUAUAAUAUGAAUAGCUUUACCAAGCAGUUGCUUCUGGCUUCCGAUGCUGCUAUUACAUGUUUAAAGAUUGUUAAGUGAACUACUGUUGAAGUUUCAAUGAGCUGCAGAGUGUAGCCACUCUAAAUUCUAUAUGGGAUGCUUUAAGAAAGGAGAAGGCAUCAAAAUGUUAACAUUGAUCAUACUAAAAUGAUGCUGAUCCAGUGGUGAAUGUUAUGGCUAUAGAUAUUACUAUGUGUUAGUAAAAGGUCUAAAUCGUGACAAUAUUACUCCCCCCAACUGAAGAAAAUCUUAAAGAGUGAACAAAGUGGAGAAUGUGUGAAAUCAACAGAGAAAGAACAAUAUGUUUAUCUCUUAUUCAAAAUCCCCACUUAGUUGUAUAAUAAUGUAUUAAUUUAUUUAUACACAUUAGUGUUCAUCAUUUGUAUGUACAAAAUUAUUGAAUUUAUAAAAACACGCUUUUCAGGUCA